RNAcentral lists this long non-coding RNA (2523 nucleotides) under Gallus gallus (chicken). RNAcentral describes it as "lncRNA (ENSGALG00010018190.1)". Lineage: Eukaryota; Metazoa; Chordata; Aves; Galliformes; Phasianidae. The record is from RNAcentral.
AUCAGUUGCAUUUGUCUGCUGUCUUCUGGAAGGACACAAAUGAACCUCUGCAUCAGAGGGCUCUAAUUGGAUACAACUGCGGGUUUUGUUCGGCUUCAAGAUGCGAGACUCCCUUCAGCCUGUGUUUGCUGGAGAAUCUGCAGAUUCAAAGCAUCCCACCAUGAAGACAAUCAGCCUCCAUGGGCUGAACUUCAGAGCACUCAGGCGAGAAGGCCACUCCACCUCUUUCCAUCCCUGGGAGUCUGCACUGCUGAGCCAGAUACCUGCAGCCAGGCAGACUGGAUGCCGUUGUUUCAGUGCUGCCCCAGCUUGCAGCUCCAGGAAGCAGGGACACCAGCUGAAAUGACAAAGAAGUUUAAGCAGAGAUGAAGAGAAAGCAGAAAUUUGGGGACCGGCCCGUCAGGACUUGUUCAGGCCUCACUGAUUUGCAGUCUGAAGCAGCGACACGGAUCUGCAGCGUAUCCUGAGCCUCAUUUCUCAACCUUUGAGGGUUAUUUAAGGGAUCUCUGGUCCCCGGUGAGGCUGAGUCAGAAAAGCCAUCUCUGCACAGACAGGAGGGGGAUUAAGUCGGGUCCUGCUUCCCCUUUUAAGCUGCAGGAGAUACCAGCGAGGCCGUUCCCAUGGGACAGAGAUUAUCUCAUUGCUUUUGCUGGAAACGUCUGAGGGAUGCAGCGCAGGGAGAUGAUGGAUGGCUGUGAAACAUGAAGCGUGGAUCCAAGGGAUGGCUCUGCACACGCUUUACAUUUGCUUAAGCCAGAGAAGGACGUGGAUAUGCCGACUACCUGAUAAAGGUCUUUAAUCCUACAGUUGGACUUUCUGUGGGGUUGCAGGGAGCUUUGCUCCUUAUCUAUCCCGGAAUGUUACUGAUGUCGUGGACUCCAGCAAAGGUGAAUGUCCCAAUUUCAGGUCAAGUUGAUGCUGAUAGGGGUGCAGCUGUGGGAUCUGAAACGGAUUAAGGCCGGCUAUAUGAAUUUCAUAAAUAGUAAUACUAAACCAGUGCACACCUUAGGCUGAUAUUAAACAGGGGAUGAGUUGGUAUUCAUCCUUAAUAGCGAAUGCAUUAUAAUGAAAUGGAAACAUCAGGUUUUACUUACAAAGCCCAGGUUUCCCAUAGGAGGCGGUUUAUGGAGUGACCAUUUAUUAAAGACAAAUGCUAUCAUUCGAAACAUAUCUCAUGUAGAGAGGGGGACGGGCUGAUUCGGAGGAGCGGUAAUGAGAGCCGGAGCUUUGCAUUUACAAGGCAUUGAUGGAAGCAGGCUGAGCAUCAAGGCAAGGUGCACUGUCCCCCUGAGCCUCAGCAGCACUGCGAGGUGCUGAGCGCUGAGCCCCGACCCCAAAACCGAAUGGUAACACAUAUCGAGCAGCAGGCAGAAAGCAAAGCCGGUUCUCUCGAGUCAGAGCAGUCAUGUGCUUAAAAUAAGUCCAUCUUGGAGAGGAGCCAUCACCUCAGCAGGGCUCUGGGGGCUGAGCAGGGCUGGGGUGCUAAGCUCUGCUCUCUGCACUGGAAAUCCCCAGAAAUACGAGCUGGCUGCUGCUGAAUGGCUCCGGGUCUGCGUGAUGCUGUCUGAAGGAGCAGGCAAGAGAGCGCCAGGGGUUGUGCUCCAUCCUGUCGUUGCCACGUGGGUGGGUAACUGCGUCCUCAGGUUUUGCUUGUUUCAUCUUUGUGGUUUUGUCAUUCAUUGGGAAUUUCCAGCUCACGGCUGCCCUACGUACACACAGUUCACAGCUCUGGUGCGCUCUGAAGCACUAUGAUUCAUUCAAGUGGAAGGAGAAUGCGCAGAGCACCCUCAGGCCUGAGCCCAGGAGGGCAGUGCUGAUGGUAGCAGAGGGCACAGUGCCUCUUCUGCACACUCAGAGGCUUCUGUGACCUGAGGAGCGUACACAAAAAGGAAGGGAGAUCCCCCAUGUUUUAAUGUGCUCCUGCUGAGGGAUGCCAAUGUCAGCACCCACAGCCACAGCCCUUCCAAAGCCACAUGGCUUCCCUUUCACUUCAUGAGUUAGUGAUUUGGAAUUGCAGGGCAAAUGUUAAAUGUUAACAACUGCUGGUAAAGUCACAUCUGCAGAUCGUUUUGCUGUUCACCUGGAAAGAAACAGCUCUCAUUCAAUUAAUCAAAGAAGUAUAUGGUGGCUUUCUGGAUAGAUGCUGGCACCCUGACAGGACGAUGCUGUUCGUUCUUUGGGAUUGAAUCAGAAAUCCAGGAUGAGGACAUCAUUUGGAGGAAGUGGCAGGUAAAAUUGCAUGCUUUCUAGAAGCAUAGAUUUGGUUUGUUGCGUGUAGGAAGACUUUCUGGCUCAUUGUAGUAUGACAUUUGCAACCAUUUAAUUUGAAUAAAUUCCAUUUUUAUGUUCCAUCCGGCUUUUAAUAUGUCAGCCAAACCAUCCGUAAGGGACAGAAUGUAAAUCCUGCCUGCUCUCCCUUCUGUGCUAUCAUCAGGGAUCGAUCAUGCUAAUGCUGCUUGUUCCUUGGGCUUCCAGAGCUCCCAGAGGUCAGCGGCUCCAUUUGGGAAGGCCUGGGAGAAGCUU